RNAcentral lists this unclassified non-coding RNA (2811 nucleotides) under Hevea brasiliensis (rubber tree). Lineage: Eukaryota; Viridiplantae; Streptophyta; Magnoliopsida; Malpighiales; Euphorbiaceae. The record is from RNAcentral.
GAAAUAAUCAAAUAUGUCAUCUACAAAGUCAAAUUCCAUAUUUACCUGUUGUUUUCUAUUGGAUUCAUGCCCUCCUCUGGCCUCUCCCUCCAAGUUGGGAGUAAAAAACGGUAGCUCGACGAGUCUUCUAACCGUUUGUGGAAAUGCCCAAACAGCUGAUGUUUUUCUACAUUUGGUUUUGCCGAUGUUGCGAUUUCCAAUUCGCCCAGAUUACGGCGCCUGCCAAGUCAUCAACAGCCACUGCCGCCCCACCUUAUCCUCUUAUCCUUCAAGUGGGCUUCCAUGCCUUGGUUAAUGCCAUUAUUCCAGAAAUUAUUUUCCUUCUCACGUUUUUUAUGGGAAAUGAAUUGAUUUCACUCUAAAGGUUAUGUAUUCUCAUGAUGGGUUGCUUUCUUUCUUUAUUUGUUUGCAGGAUUGCUACAAACCAAAGGAAGGAAACUGCUUUCUUUGCUUUUAGCCUUCCUUGUUCUGCGCUCUCUUCGCAAAUCUAUCUAUUAUCCAUUUCUCUCCAAAACUAAUGGAAGGCACCACCCCAUCUAAUGGACGUCUUGAUUUUGGGAAGAUGGGCUAUGGAUGCGAGCAUUACAGGAGAAGAUGCAAGAUUCGAGCUCCGUGCUGCAACGAGGUCUUCCCUUGUCGCCAUUGUCACAACGAGGCCGCGAGCAUGUUGAAGAACCCCUAUGAUCGGCACGAGCUCAAUCGCUACGAUGUCAAGCAAGUAAUAUGUUCAGUUUGUGACACAGAGCAGCCGGUUGCUAAAGUUUGUAUGAACUGUGGGGUCAAUAUGGGGGAAUACUUCUGUGGAGUCUGCAAAUUCUAUGACGAUGAUGUAAUCUUACCUUUUGAAAUUGAAUAAUCAAUAUUGGUUUAUUGAAAAAUUACUCCUUUGCUGUUUCUAAUAUUUAUUUUGUUUCUGGUAGAUAUUAUGAGUCUCUCUUAUGUUCGGAUCACUUGAGUAGUUGAUAUUAGUAACUGAUAUUAGCUUUUGGUAAUCUAUGAUGCAGACAGAGAAAGGGCAGUUCCAUUGUGAUGAUUGUGGGAUCUGUAGGUAAGUAAUCCUAGUUUUGGUUCGUUAGUUCUUUUUGUCUCCCUUAAAUGUUGCCAAUGAAUUCAUGAAAUUAAAUUCCUGUGUCUGUGAUGUAAAACAGAGUUGGUGGCCUUGAGAAUUAUUUUCACUGCAAUAAGUGUGGUAUGCGCUAGCUACCUCAUUGCUUUGCUGUUCAUGCGCAUCUUGCAAUUAGUUACAGUUUAUAUUUCUUCCUUCUGAUGGCAUUUGAGCUCUUAUGCAUACUAGUUUUUUAACUAUAGAUUCCAUCCCUUCCUGAUAUGCAUUUAGAUCCUUUUGCCAGAAUCUCCUGUAUGCUGACAAUGUUUAAUGUAUAUGCAGGUUCUUGCUAUUCAAUUAGCCUGUGCGGUAAUCAUUCAUGUGUGGAGAACUCCAUGCGCCACCACUGCCCCAUAUGUUAUGAGUACUUGUUUGACUCGCUAAAAGACACUAGUGUAAUGAAAUGCGGGCACACAAUGCAUUUUGAAUGUUAUUGCGAGAUGAUAAAGCGUGAUAAGUAAGUUCUCUGGCGUGAUAAGUAAGUUCUCUGGAAGUUGUACUUUAGUUUUGUUUUUGUGAUUCUCAAGUCAAAACUUGGUUUUAACUUUAAUCGGCAGAUACUGUUGUCCCAUAUGCUCCAAAUCAGUGAUUGACAUGUCCAAAACCUGGAAGAGAAUAGAUGAGGAGAUAGAAGCAACCAUCAUGCCUGAGGAUUACCGCUACAAGAAGGUUCUUGCUUCCAUCUUUAUUAACAUAUAUUUACCUGAUUUAUGUAUCUACUCUAUCUAGUUCAGUUAGUUUACCCUCUAUGUAUUGCUUUAAAGAAUGCUGCAGCCCUGAUCUAAGAGUCUACCAGUGUGCUAUAUGAUGUGCUGUCAGGGAUUUAAUGUGAUUUUGGGGGUACUUUUCAUAACACGUCAUUAUGAGUUACCAAAAAAGGAAAACCUACAUAGAAAAUAGAUGUAAGUUAAGCUUGUGAACUUACAUAUAAUCUGAUUUGCAUCAGUCAUGCUAGCCUGUCUCCUAUGUUUGAAUCAAGUAAUUUGUAUCAGUGGCACUGAAAUUGGCUGCAUUGUUAAUCUUUUCAAGUAAUAUUCACUGAAAGACCUCUAAAAAGCAAGGAAGAUUUGCAGGUUUGGAUCCUCUGUAAUGACUGCAAUGACACAACAGAAGUCUACUUCCACAUAAUUGGGCAGAAGUGCAGCCACUGCAAAUCAUACAAUACCCGCACAAUAGCACCUCCUGUUCUUCCCCAAUGACGGAGUUAUGGUUAUGGGAAAAUAUCCAGCCAUGUAAGAGCAUUGAGAGCUUGCAUCCCAAGCAUAAAACAAAUGGUGUACACAUAAUUGCAGCUCUAGCAUUUUCAAUGAUUAUUGCUUUUUAAACAGAAUUCUGUACCAUUACAACAUGAUUCGACUGCAGCAUUUGCAUUGAUGCCUCAGAAACGUUUUUCUCAUGUUAUUCUUCCUCCAAUUUACAGAAUUAAAACCCUGGUAUUAAGUCUCUGGGUUGAUGUAGACAUAUACAGCAAUCCAUAUACAGGAAUGUUGUUUCCUUGCUAUGAAUUCUCAGUGAUUGUUUUGGAUAACUGGUUGGGCUGUGCAAUAGUUGUUCCCCCUGUGACAUGUUCAAUAACCUGGGAAAAGCAUUGCUAAUCGUUGGCGAGAAGUUCUGAUGAUACUAAAUUUUCUAUGUUCAUUCAUAUAUGACCCUUGAUUGAGUUGGUAGAUGAAUGCCUACCUAUAAUGGAUGAGAUUAAAAAUUUA